GAAUAGCUCAGUUGGUAGAGCAUGGGACUCUUAAUCUCAGGGUAGUGGGUUCGAGUCUCACAUGGGGCA
Molecule: transfer RNA, 69 nt
Filed under: Podarcis lilfordi (Lilford's wall lizard)
Lineage: Eukaryota; Metazoa; Chordata; Lepidosauria; Squamata; Lacertidae
Description: tRNA.Lys
Rfam family: tRNA (bases 4-61)
About the family: Transfer RNA (tRNA) molecules are approximately 80 nucleotides in length. Their secondary structure includes four short double-helical elements and three loops (D, anti-codon, and T loops). Further hydrogen bonds mediate the characteristic L-shaped molecular structure. tRNAs have two regions of fundamental functional importance: the anti-codon, which is responsible for specific mRNA codon recognition, and the 3' end, to which the tRNAs corresponding amino acid is attached (by aminoacyl-tRNA synthetases). tRNAs cope with the degeneracy of the genetic code in two manners: having more than one tRNA (with a specific anti-codon) for a particular amino acid; and 'wobble' base-pairing, i.e. permitting non-standard base-pairing at the 3rd anti-codon position.
Source: RNAcentral